GAUGAACGCUGGCGGCGUGCUUAACACAUGCAAGUCGAACGAAGCAUAGAUUUAGAAGCCUUCGGGUGGAAGAAUCUAUGACUUAGUGGCGGACGGGUGAGUAACGCGUGGGUAACCUGCCCUAUACAGGGGGAUAACAGUUGGAAACGACUGCUAACACCGCAUAAGCACACAGGAUCGCAUGAUCAAGUGUGAAAAUAUUAAUAGGUAUAGGAUGGGCCCGCGUCUGAUUAGCUAGUUGGUAAGGUAACGGCUUACCAAGGCAACGAUCAGUAGCCGGCUUGAGAGAGUGACCGGCCACAUUGGGACUGAGACACGGCCCAAACUCCUACGGGAGGCAGCAGUGGGGAAUAUUGCACAAUGGGGGAAACCCUGAUGCAGCGACGCCGCGUGAGUGAAGAAGUAAUUCGUUAUGUAAAGCUCUAUCAGCAGGGAAGAAAAUGACGGUACCUGACUAAGAAGCCCCGGCUAAAUACGUGCCAGCCGCCGCAGUA
RNAcentral lists this ribosomal RNA (494 nucleotides) under uncultured bacterium. RNAcentral describes it as "bacterial SSU rRNA". It matches the Rfam family "Bacterial small subunit ribosomal RNA", at positions 28 to 522 of the family's 1533-position model. The record is from RNAcentral.